UUUUUAACGCAGACAGUGAAUGCCUUGCUUCUCAUCUCCUAAGAAGGACGUACAUAGCCACGAAAGUCGCCGGGGAACUGCUACGAAGUUUUGAUCCGACGGUGUCCGAAUGGGGAAACCCACCGCGUUUUACGCGGUAUUUACGCACCAAAUUUUUGCUCGAAAGAGCAUUUCAAUAAUGCGAUAAAUGGAAACCGCCCGAACUGAAACAUCUCAGUAGGGCGAGGAAAAUAAAUCAAUUUUGAGAUUACCUUAGUAGCGGCGAGCGAAAAGGUAACAGCCUAAACCAUUGUGCAUAGCACAGGGAAAAUCUCAAAAACGCCAAAACUCAAAGAUUCCAAGCAAUUAAAAAAGGAAAAAUAUAAAAAUUAAAAAAUAUUUUUCUUUAAAAAAGUUUUUAAAUUUUAAUUUGUUUGGAGAUUUGGAUUCUUGGAAGUUUAGAGUUUUUUCAUGCGCUGUGCAUGGUGGGGUUGCGGGAGCCCAAUGUGGGACUGACUUUUGCUAGCAGAAUGGUCUGGAAUGGCCAAUCACAGAGAGUGAAAAUCUCGUAAGCUAAAGCGAAUGUUACCCUAGGGAUUUCCCAAGUACCACGGAGCACAUACUCUGUGGGAAUCCGGAGGAACCAUCCCCCAAGGCUAAAUAAGAUGAGAGAGCGAUAGUGAACUAGUACCGUGAGGGAAAGGUGAAAAGAAGGGUGAGACACCCAAUGAAAUAGUACCUGAAACUGUUUGCGAACAAUCCGUGAGAGCCAUGAAGUAUGCGCAAGCUUAACUUUAUGGUGAUCGCGUGCCUAUUGAAGAAUGAGCCGGCGAGUUCUCGAAUAUUUCUAGUCUAAGUCCGAUUUAAUCGGACGCAGGCAUAGGGAAACCAAGUGUGAAUAGCGCGUUUGGAGUAUUCGAAAGACCCGAAACCAGGUGAGCUAACCAUGUGCAGGGUGAAGGGAGCAGAAAUGCUCGUGGAAGCCCGAACCCGUUAUCGUUGCAAUGAUAUGGGAUGACGUGUGGUUAGUGGCAAUAUACCUAACGAACCUGGAGAUAGCUGGUUCUCCCCGAAAGGUCUAUAGGGACCGUGUCACGCUACGUACUGUUGGCCGUAGAGCACUAGAUGGGUUGGAGAGCGCAAGCAAUUCAACUCAAUUAAACUCCGAAAACUAACGUGUAUUAACGUGAUAGACAGCCGCAUCGGGCUAAGCUGAUGCGACGAAAGGGAAACAACCCAUGAUUCUCAGUUAAGGCCUCUAAAUUGUAUCUAAGUUUUAAAGGAAGUCAUUUCUCUCAGACAGCCAGGAAGUUGGCUCAGAAGCAGCCACCUUUUAAAGAUAGCGUAACAGCUCACUGGUCGACUGAGGAGUGGCGCCCAAGAUUUAUCGAGGAUUAAGAUACAUGCCGAAGCUAGAGAUUUGUACCGAGAGCAAUCGAAGUACAAGUGGUAGGGGAGCGUUCCAACUGCAGUGAAGUUCUGACUGUAAGGUCGGAUGGAGCGGUUGGGAGUGAGAAUGUCGGCUUGAGUAGCGCACAAUGCCUGUGAGAAUCAGGCGCACCGAAUGUCCAAGGUUUCCACUGCAAGAUUCGUUCUCAGUGGGUUAGUCGGUACCUAAGGCGAGGCCAUAACGGCGUAGUCGAUGGAAGAGCAGUCAAAAUUCUGCUAUUUGUUUUGAAUCGUUAUCAACUGGGGAUUGACCAAGUUGGAAGUUUGAGGCCCUUACGUGAAGUAGGGUACAAGCUGUUAAAUAGUUUCGAAUAGAAAAUCUUUCGAAGCGUUUAAUUGAGCAGCAAUGCAAAUUCCGCCGCGAGGCGGGAGAUUUCAACACUUUCAGUUUGCAAGAAAAGAUUCGCAGCGAGAGUCAAAGCAAGCCGUACCGCAAACCGACACAGGUGGACUGGGGGAGCACCCUAAGGUGAUCGAGUGACAAAUCCUCAAGGAACUCGGCAAAAAAUCUACCCGUAACUUCGGGAGAUGGGUUGCCAAUAGCAAUAUUGGUUGCAACUAAAGUUUAUUAGUCGACUGUUUAUCAAAAACACAGGUCCGUGCAAAGACGAAAGUCGCAGUAUACGGGCUGACGCUUGUCCAGUGCCGGUAAGUUAAGAGGAGGGGUACUAGCCGCAAGGUUAGCGCUCCGAAUUUAAGCUCCGGUGAACGGCAGCAGUAACUAUAACUGUUCUAAGGUAGCGAAGUUCCUUGCCAGGUGAGUUCUGGCCCGCAUGAAUAGCGUAACGAGCUAAUAACUGUCUUGAGGGUUUACUCGGCGAAAUAGCGAUGGCUGUGAAGACGCGGCCUACUUCUACAUGGACAAAAAGACCCCGUGGAGCUUUACUGCAGGUAGACAUUGCUUUCAUAUUUUUCGAUUGUCUAGGAUAGGUGGGAGCCGCAAGGCGACAGUGUAAUACCACUCGUUGGGAAAUGUGAGGCUUACUUUGGGACUCUGGAAACGAGUCUGGGAAAAGUGUUUGCCGGGCAGUUUUACUGGGGCGGUACCCUGCCAAAAUGUAACGCAGGGACACAAAGGUUGGCUUUCCACCAAUGGAAACGGUGGUUCAAAGCGCAAAGGUUUAAGCCAGCUUGACUGCGACACCGACAGGUGAAGCAGGUACGAAAGUAGGUCUUAGUGAUCCUCCAAGGCACAAUGGGUGUGCCUGGAGCUUAAUGGAUAAAAGCUACCCCGGGGAUAACAGAGUAGUCGCGCCCGAGCGUCCAUAGCGACGGCGCGGUUCGCUACCUCGAUGUCGGCUCAUCACAUCCUGGCGCUGAAGAAGGUGCCAAGGGUCGGUCUGUUCGCCCGUUAAA
RNAcentral lists this ribosomal RNA (2784 nucleotides) under Patescibacteria group bacterium. Its description in RNAcentral is "partial 23S ribosomal RNA". It matches the Rfam family "Bacterial large subunit ribosomal RNA", at positions 1 to 2592 of the family's 2925-position model. The record is from RNAcentral.